RNAcentral lists this ribosomal RNA (1251 nucleotides) under uncultured bacterium. RNAcentral's name for it is "bacterial SSU rRNA". It matches the Rfam family "Bacterial small subunit ribosomal RNA", at positions 198 to 1382 of the family's 1533-position model. The record is from RNAcentral.
GGUGCUGGGCCUGGCGCUAGUGGAUGAGCCUAAGUCCUAUCAGCUAGUUGGUGGGGUAAAAGCCUACCAAGGCGACGACGGGUAGCUGGUCUGAGAGGAUGAUCAGCCACACUGGGACUGAGACACGGCCCAGACUCCUACGGGAGGCAGCAGUGGGGAAUAUUGGACAAUGGGCGAAAGCCUGAUCCAGCAAUGCCGCGUGUGUGAAGAAGGCCUGCGGGUUGUAAAGCACUUUCAGUGGGGAAGAAAAGCUUGGUGUGAACAGCGCCGAGUCUUGACGUUACCCAAAGAAGAAGCACCGGCUAACUCCGUGCCAGCAGCCGCGGUAAUACGGAGGGUGCGAGCGUUAAUCGGAAUCACUGGGCGUAAAGCGCGCGUAGGCGGCAGAGUAAGUCGGGUGUGAAAGCCCUGGGCUUAACCCAUGAACUGCAUUCGAUACUGCUUAGCUAGAGUAUGGUAGAGGGAAGCGGAAUUCCCGGGUGUAGCGGUGAAAUGCGUAGAGAUCCGGAGGAACACCAGUGGCGAAAGCGGCUUUCCUGGACCAAUACUGGACGGCUGGAGGGUGCGAAAGCGUGGGGGAGCAAACAGGGAUUAGAUACCCUGGGUAGUCCACGCCUAAAACGAUGUCGACUAGCCGUUGGCACUCAAUAUUAAGGGUUUAGUGGGCGCAGCUAACGGCGUUUAAAGUCGACCGCCUGGGGGAGUACGGGCCGCAAAGGUUUAAAACUCAAAAGGAAAUUUGACGGGGGGCCCGCACAAAGCGGGUGGGAGCAUGUGGGUUUUAAUUUCGAUGCAAACGCGAAAGAACUCUUUACCAGCUUCUUGACAUUCUGCGGAACCUGGGCAGAGAUGCCCAGGGUGCUCUUCGGGAACCGCAAAGACUAGGUGCUGCAUGGGCUGUCGUCAAGCUCGUGUCGUGAGAUGUUGGGUUAAGUCCCGUAACGAGCGCAAACCCCUUGUCUCUUAGUUGCCCAGCCACUUUGGGUGGGAAACUCUAAAGGGAGACUGCCGGUGACCAAACCCGGAGGGAAGGUGGGGAUGACGUCCAAGUUCAUCCAUGGCUCUUUAUGGGCUGGGCUACCACCACGUGCUACCAAUGGUCGGUACCAAAGGGGUUGCCCAACCCCGCGAGGGGGAGCUGAUUCCUCGUAAAGCCGAUCGUAUUCCGGAUCGGAUUCUGCGACUCGACUCCGUGAAUUCGAAUCGCUAUAAUGCGAUCUGAACGCCGCUGUAAAUACGUUCUUUGGCUUU